ACACUGGGAUAGCCUUUCGAAAGAAAGAUUAAUACCGGAUGGCAUAAUUAUUCCGCAUGGGAUAAUUAUUAAAGAAUUUCGGUUGUCGAUGGGGAUGCGUUCCAUUAGGCAGUUGGCGGGGUAACGGCCCACCAAACCUACGAUGGAUAGGGGUUCUGAGAAGAAGGUCCCCCACAUUGGAACUGAGACACGGUCCAAACUCCUACGGGAGGCAGCAGUGAGGAAUAUUGGUCAAUGGACGAGAGUCUGAACCAGCCAAGUAGCGUGAAGGAUGACUGCCCUAUGGGUUGUAAACUUCUUUUAUACGGGAAUAAAGUGAGCCACGUGUGGUUUUUUGUAUGUACCGUAUGAAUAAGGAUCGGCUAACUCCGUGCCAGCAGCCGCGGUAAUACGGAGGAUCCGAGCGUUAUCCGGAUUUAUUGGGUUUAAAGGGAGCGUAGGCGGGUUGUUAAGUCAGUUGUGAAAGUUUGCGGCUCAACCGUAAAAUUGCAGUUGAUACUGGCGACCUUGAGUGCAACAGAGGUAGGCGGAAUUCGUGGUGUAGCGGUGAAAUGCUUAGAUAUCACGAAGAACUCCGAUUGCGAAGGCAGCUUACUGGAUUGUAACUGACGCUGAUGCUCGAAAGUGUGGGUAUCAAACAGGAUUAGAUACCCUGGUAGUCCACACAGUAAACGA
Molecule: ribosomal RNA, 675 nt
Filed under: uncultured bacterium
Lineage: Bacteria
Description: bacterial SSU rRNA
Rfam family: Bacterial small subunit ribosomal RNA
Source: RNAcentral